Molecule: long non-coding RNA, 1960 nt
Filed under: Lupinus angustifolius (narrow-leaved blue lupine)
Lineage: Eukaryota; Viridiplantae; Streptophyta; Magnoliopsida; Fabales; Fabaceae
Description: long non-coding RNA (LANG_LNC003039)
Source: RNAcentral
AGAAAAUGGGUUAUCCCUUCCCAUUUUUCACGUGCUGGAGAAUCACUAGGGAAUGAAAUCCCUAAAAAAGGGGUCCCCCUUUUUAACUACAAGAGGAGAAGGGAAUUUGAAUCCCUAACCCUCAAUUCUUCUUCUCACCACCUCAUUUCAUCCUCAUGGUGUAGGUCCGCGCGCUGCCGGUGGUUCAACUCCGGCUUCUACCUCUACUGGUAUCUCCUCUCCCUUCUUCCCUUAUUUAUUGGCGAUGAUCUGCGAUUCGGAUCGCGACUCUUUAUAGAUGGAAGGGGUUAUUCACGAUCGGAUUUUCUCAUCCUCUCUACUCCUCUCAGUGUCUCUAACAGUAAAGGGGGUGGGGAUUCUCUAAGUCCCCUUUUUUGUUUCCAUUUGGUUCGAUGAGGGUAGACUCAUAUCCUUCUACAAUUUAUGUUCUUACCCGAUUGCCUUUGGUUGCUGUUAGAUCGUGACUUAAUGCAUUUCUUUUUGGUUACGUGAACCGAAAAAAGGCCCGAAGACGGUAGGAUGAGAUAGUGAGGUUCCAAGGAUUCAUAAGAUCCCCAAACGCCAGGAUUGCGGUAAUUGGUGAAGGAUGAGCCCAUUGGAGCCAUAAGUCGCGAGGCUAAAGUAACCAGUAAGGUAUCUUACCUUCUUUCCGUUUGCUUUUAUGUAUUUUUCAAUGCUUAAAUUAAGGGGUGACAUGCAUAUGACAAUAAGGUUGAAUGUUAAUCUAUUGAGAACAAACCGAGAAGAUUGCUUUGUGAUUAUCAUAUGCAUCCAACCGGCAUGGGUAUAUGUAAUCUUUAUGGAAUGGUUUGUAUGUAUUAGGAAUAGGUUUGGUUAAAACUUAACCUGGACAUAAGUCAUAUUUAUCUUGCUUUAUAGUUAUAACAACACCCCUUAUACUUUAUUCUGUUUCGUUUUCUUACUUUAAGUAAAUAUACCUUCUGCUGAAACCAACCCAAUAUGAAUAAUCGCAUAAAAUAGGAUAUGUUCACAACACAACAUUAUUACGAUUUGGAUGCUUACCUGAGUAUAUGCUUUUGGUUAUUGUAUGAUGUGUAUGUCCUUGUCCUUCUGGUUUGUGAUGCCUAUGAUGUAGAAAUAUCUCCUAAUUAUGACAUCUUUCCGGUUACUCGUGGUUGGUAUGCUCUCUGGUUGUUUAUAUGAUGCUUACGAUAGAUAGCUUAUGAAUAUAUUUGGUAUAUGAUAGUUUGUUCUCUUUGUAUCGAGAACAUAAAAUCUCAUUACUGAAUGGUCUAUCUUUAUAGGUUAAGGAAGAUGAAGACUAGCUUAUUAUGGACAUGAUGAAAGUGACUUUCCUAUGGAAUGAUUUUCUGGUUUAUUUGUGCAGCAACCUACUUGAUAAGGUAGUGCUUGAGGAGCAAGGGUGAGAAGAAAGGAUAUGAGGCUAAAUAAGAAGAAGAAGAAUGAUCAAUGAGUUUAUGUAUGUUUAGGAGUUGUGUUUAAGAACAACUAAAGGGAGAGCAGAGAAUCACUUUUGCUUUUUUACUUGUUCUCUUUUAUAUUGGUGCUUUUGAAUUGAGCAUUAAAAUUUUUGAUGGACAUAUGUUGAAUGUAAAGAGAUUGUUGGUGGUUGGAGGAUGAGGAUAGUGUAGAAAAAUAAACCCUCGUCACCUCAUUUUCCUCUGCUCUUUAUAGCUAUUAGUGAAGUAUAUAACGGAUACAAUAAUAUUAAAAGUGGCUCCGUAAUAGAAUAAAAUUGGGUGGUGAAGAGCUUACUCUUAUGUGUAAUAAUGUCUCUUGAAUUAGAUUGGAUUGUUUCAGUUUUUCAUGGAAAUAAAAAACAUGGAAUAAAGUAGAGGGUUACAGAAGAUUCAAUGAGGAAAAAUAAAGUAAAAAGUAGGAAAUCAUUGGUGGGUUAAAGAAACUAUGUAAGAAGAUGAAUUUAAUGCAUGGACAAUUACUUCUUAUAUGAGAUUUAAAUCUUAUUAUGAAAGCAAAC